Molecule: ribosomal RNA, 734 nt
Filed under: Microcoleus sp. SCyano17
Lineage: Bacteria; Bacillati; Cyanobacteriota; Cyanophyceae; Oscillatoriales; Microcoleaceae
Description: bacterial SSU rRNA
Rfam family: Bacterial small subunit ribosomal RNA
Source: RNAcentral
UCGAACGCAACCUUCGGGUUGAGUGGCGGACGGGUGAGUAACGCGUGAGAAUCUGCCUUGGGGUCGGGGACAACCACUGGAAACGGUGGCUAAUACCGGAUAAGCCUUCGGGUAAAAGAUUUAUUGCCCCAAGAGGAGCUCGCGUCUGAUUAGCUAGUUGGUAGGGUAAAAGCCUACCAAGGCAGCGAUCAGUAGCUGGUCUGAGAGGACGAUCAGCCACACUGGGACUGAGACACGGCCCAGACUCCUACGGGAGGCAGCAGUGGGGAAUUUUCCGCAAUGGGCGAAAGCCUGACGGAGCAAGACCGCGUGAGGGAGGAAGGCUCUUGGGUUGUAAACCUCUUUUCUCAGGGAAGAAGCUCUGACGGUACCUGAGGAAUCAGCCUCGGCUAACUCCGUGCCAGCAGCCGCGGUAAUACGGAGGAGGCAAGCGUUAUCCGGAAUUAUUGGGCGUAAAGCGUCCGCAGGUGGCGAUUCAAGUCUGCUGUCAAAGCACGGGGCUUAACUCCGUUAAGGCAGUGGAAACUGAAUGGCUAGAGUGCCGUAGGGGUAGAGGGAAUUCCCGGUGUAGCGGUGAAAUGCGUAGAGAUCGGGAAGAACAUCGGUGGCGAAAGCGCUCUACUGGACGGCAACUGACACUCAUGGACGAAAGCUAGGGGAGCGAAUGGGAUUAGAUACCCCAGUAGUCCUAGCUGUAAACGAUGGAUACUAGUGUAGCUUGUAUCGACCCGAGC